Molecule: transfer RNA, 77 nt
Filed under: Candidatus Sulfopaludibacter sp. SbA4
Lineage: Bacteria; Pseudomonadati; Acidobacteriota; Terriglobia; Bryobacterales; Solibacteraceae
Description: tRNA-Gln
Rfam family: tRNA
About the family: Transfer RNA (tRNA) molecules are approximately 80 nucleotides in length. Their secondary structure includes four short double-helical elements and three loops (D, anti-codon, and T loops).
Source: RNAcentral
GGGGAGGUAGCUCAAUUUGGCGGAGCGGCGGACUUUGACUCCGCAGGUUGCUGGUUCGAAGCCAGCCCUCCUCGCCA